GACGAACGCUGGCGGCGUGCUUAACACAUGCAAGUCGAACGGAAAGGCCCUGCUUUUGUGGGGUGCUCGAGUGGCGAACGGGUGAGUAACACGUGAGUAACCUGCCCUUGACUUUGGGAUAACUUCAGGAAACUGGGGCUAAUACCGGAUAGGAGCUCCUGCUGCAUGGUGGGGGUUGGAAAGUUUCGGCGGUUGGGGAUGGACUCGCGGCUUAUCAGCUUGUUGGUGGGGUAGUGGCUUACCAAGGCUUUGACGGGUAGCCGGCCUGAGAGGGUGACCGGCCACAUUGGGACUGAGAUACGGCCCAGACUCCUACGGGAGGCAGCAGUGGGGAAUAUUGCACAAUGGGCGGAAGCCUGAUGCAGCAACGCCGCGUGCGGGAUGACGGCCUUCGGGUUGUAAACCGCUUUCGCCUGUGACGAAGCGUGAGUGACGGUAAUGGGUAAAGAAGCACCGGCUAACUACGUGCCAGCAGCCGCGGUGAUACGUAGGGUGCGAGCGUUGUCCGGAUUUAUUGGGCGUAAAGGGCUCGUAGGUGGUUGAUCGCGUCGGAAGUGUAAUCUUGGGGCUUAACCCUGAGCGUGCUUUCGAUACGGGUUGACUUGAGGAAGGUAGGGGAGAAAUGGAAUUCCUGGUGGAGCGGUGGAAUGCGCAGAUAUCAGGAGGAACACCAGUGGCGAAGGCGGUUCUCUGGGCCUUUCCUGACGCUGAGGAGCGAAAGCGUGGGGAGCGAACAGGCUUAGAUACCCUGGUAGUCCACGCUGUAAACGGUGGGUACUAGGUGUGGGGUCCAUUCCACGGGUUCCGCGCCGUAGCUAACGCUUUAAGUACCCCGCCUGGGGAGUACGGCCGCAAGGCUAAAACUCAAAGGAAUUGACGGGGCCCCGCACAAGCGGCGGAGCAUGCGGAUUAAUUCGAUGCAACGCGUAGAACCUUACCUGGGUUUGACAUGGAUCGGGAGUGCUCAGAGAUGGGUGUGCCUCUUUUGGGGUCGGUUCACAGGUGGUGCAUGGCUGUCGUCAGCUCGUGUCGUGAGAUGUUGGGUUAAGUCCCGCAACGAGCGCAACCCUUGUUCACUGUUGCCAGCACGUUAUGGUGGGGACUCAGUGGAGACCGCCGGGGUCAACUCGGAGGAAGGUGGGGAUGACGUCAAGUCAUCAUGCCCCUUAUGUCCAGGGCUUCACGCAUGCUACAAUGGCUGGUACAGAGAGUGGCGAGCCUGUGAGGGUGAGCGAAUCUCGGAAAGCCGGUCUCAGUUCGGAUUGGGGUCUGCAACUCGACCUCAUGAAGUCGGAGUCGCUAGUAAUCGCAGAUCAGCAACGCUGCGGUGAAUACGUUCCCGGGGCUUGUACACACCGCCCGUCAAGUCAUGAAAGUUGGUAACACCCGAAGCCGGUGGCCUAACCGUUGUGGGGGAGCCGUCGAAGGUGGGACUGGUGAUUAGG
Molecule: ribosomal RNA, 1445 nt
Filed under: uncultured Actinomycetes bacterium
Lineage: Bacteria; Bacillati; Actinomycetota; Actinomycetes
Description: uncultured actinobacterium 16S ribosomal RNA
Rfam family: Bacterial small subunit ribosomal RNA
Source: RNAcentral